RNAcentral lists this long non-coding RNA (1483 nucleotides) under Gossypium barbadense (sea-island cotton). RNAcentral describes it as "long non-coding RNA (GBAR_LNC005967)". Lineage: Eukaryota; Viridiplantae; Streptophyta; Magnoliopsida; Malvales; Malvaceae. The record is from RNAcentral.
GCCAAAAGACGAAUUUAAGGAUAAAAGCUUGAUAUACACAAAUGUUCAAGGACUAAACCGAAAAUUGUCCCCGAAUUUUAAAAUGCAACAUUUAAUCGUUGAUUAAAUUGGGACUAUGUACAAAUCUUAGGAAUAAAUUAAAAAACGAAAGGGAAUAAAAGGGGUUUCAACUGAAUUAUGGCACGAGCAGAAGGGGCUUAGUACGCCAUUGUCCCUUCCAGACCUAACACGCGGGUCAUCGGGUGAAGGCCACCAUUCGACGUAGUAUUUGGACCACCAAAAAUUGGUCAAAACGGCGUCGUUCUUUCGCUCUCUUAUAAAGCUAACAUUACCUUCCUUCAGCCGAACCCUAACCAUGCCCUAGCCUCCCCCUUUUCAACAGCCGCACUUUUCAUUUUCCCUCAAAAACACCAGCACUCUGCAAGGUAUGGUGACCGGCGCUCCAAGCUUCAAAGUACGGCCCGUUUUAGCCACAGACCCCCCCUUCUAACUCCGAUUACGACAAAGUGAAAGGGGACCGACGGCCUAGCAGUGAGGUAAGUCCUUCGUUUUAUUUUGUUAUGCUAAGAAAAAAGACAAAAUAAAAAAAGGAAUGGAACUGAUAAAAAAAGAAACAAGGCGCUUCAAAUCACCUUUUCGAUUGCUCUUUUUCUUUGUAUUUGAUAUGCCAAAUGUGUGUCUGUAUUGCUUUCUAAUGCGAUUGCGCGUAAAUAUUACAAUGAACAAAAGCUUUGGCUUUAUAGCCGAAACAGAAAUAAGAAAGAUCCAAAAUAAAAUAAUAAUAAUAAAUCAAUACGAAUUCUCCUUUUCGUAUUUGCUGUUGUGGUUUUGUAUUUACUCGCAGGUACGGAGUCUGCUGGCAUGUGUACGGAGGUACGGGCAUGGCGUACAAGGGCUGUGGCGUGGCUGCUGAAACGUUGGGGCAUAUGGAGGCAUGGAGGCUGGGGCUUGGUGGACCUGCUAGGGUUUCUGUCUUGGUUUCAGUACUUGGGCCGUUUGGGCUUGUAACAAGUUUGGGCUAGGGCAUUGGUUAUUGGGCCAUGUAAUUGGACUUGUUAUUAGAUUUAAGUUUUGGUCUUGUAUUAAUUUUGGGUUUUGGACUGUAAAAAAGGAUAUUUAAUGGACUGUGGUUAUUUAUUUAUUUAUUUAUUUUAUAUUUAUAUAUAUGUUUGGGGUUUUUUAGCGGGCCCGGGCCAAAAUUGGUCACUACAGCUACUAUUUCAACUAUGAAAGUAAAAGUGCGUAAAAUAUAAAAAUGAUCAUCAAAAUUAUGCAGGUCUUUAUCCAUAACAAUGAUUCACUAUCUUCCUCACAGUGCAACUAAUUUUUUACAUCCUAGUAUUGGUCUAACACUCAUCAAUUUAGAAAUCUCAUUGUUGUACAAAGACUAAAUCACUCCCCCACUAAGUUUUUCUCUCGAAAGUUUAGUUUUGCAAUCUAGAGACUCUCUUGAUUGCUUACAGAAGCAAUGCACACAUAAAAU